GGAUGCUUCAAUUUCAAAAAGUGACCAUACUUGGAUAAUCUGUCCACGACCACUAAAAUACAAUCAGCCCCGUGAGAUCAUGGUAAGCCAGUGAUAAAAUCUAGGGCGAUUUCCUCCCAAAUCAUAUUAGGAAUGGGUAGUGGCUGUAGCAGCCCGGCGGCGGAUUGAGCCUCGUAUUUAUGUUGCUGACAAACCAAACAAGCAGCCACAAAUUUCUAGAUUUGUCCCAUCAUCCCUGUCCAAUAAACGCUUGAGGCAAUGCGACGGUAGGUGCGAUAUGCUCCGGAAUGACCACCCGUGGGUGUAGAGUGAAAUUCUGAGAUUAUCUGCUCUAACCACUUAGAAGUAGCAGGAAGCACAAGCCUUCCCUUGAAAUAGAGUCUACCAUGGAUGAGACAAUAAUGAGGGUACUUCUUAGGAUCCUUCCGCAAGUCAGAGAUUAACUGUUGCAGAACCCCAUCGGCCUGAAUUUCUUGGUUGAUUUCUUCCCAUUCCACCCAUAGAGAGCAUGACAUUACUUGGAAUUGAGGGCUGUCAUCCUGUCGGGAUAGUGCGUCGGCAACUUUGUUGGGGUUUCCGGGCUUAUAUUCAAUCUGAAAAUUGUAACCCAUUAGUUUGGAAAUCCAAUGCUGUUGUGCUGGGGUGGUUACCUGUUGGGAGAGCAAGUUGCCUAGGCUUCGUUGAUUGGUACGAACCAAGAAAUUUGGGCCGAUCAAGUAUGGCCUCCAAUGGCGGACAGCUAGGACUUAGGCCAUUAGUUCAUUGUCAUAGGCUGAUCUUCUUGAAGCGGGAUCAAAAGUGCCUUUACUGAAGUAGGCAAUGGGUUUUCCUUGCUGCAUUAGGACAACCCCUAUGCCAGUCCCGGAUGCAUCACACUCAACAACAAAGGGCUUGGUGAAGUCGGGCAUAGCAAGUACAAGAGAUGUGGUGACUGCUUGCUUCAAUGUUUCAAAUGAAUCUUGUGCCAGCGAGUUUUAGGAGAACUUUUGUUGAGACUCUUUCUUCAAAAGUAAAGUGAGUGGCCGAGCCAAACGACCGUAGUUGCGGAUGAACUUCCUAUAGUAUCCUGUGAGUCCCAAGAAUCCCCUAACAGCUUUUACAGACCUUGGGGUUGGCCAUCGGAGAAUACUAGUAACCUUUACUAGAUCCAUGGAAACCCCCUCGCUUGAGAUUAUGUGCCCCAAGUACUCCAUUGAUGACUUGGCAAAGGAACACUUCUUUGGGUUAACAUGUAGUCGAUGCUGCUCUAGAAGGGUAAGAACCAUGGAUAAGUGUUGAAGAUGAGAUUCCCAGUCCUUACUGUAAAUCAGUAUGUCGUCAAAGAAUACUAACACAAAACGAUGAAGGUGAGGGCGGAAUAUGUCAUUCAUAAUAGCUUGGAACGUGGUAGCAGCAUUCAUAAGCCCUAAGGGCAUAACCAAGAACUCGUAGUGUCCUGUGUGUGUUGGAAAAGCUGUCUUAUGAAUGUCAGGUGUUGAAACUCGGAUUUGAAAGAACCCCAAUUUCAAAUCCAGCUUGGUGAAAAAUAGGCGCCAUAAAGUUCAUCUAGCAACUCUUGAACCACUGGAAUUGGAUACUUGUUCGGUACAGUGGCUUUGUUCAAUUGGCGGUAAUCGACGAAAAAAUGCCAACUACCAUCUUUCUUGCCCACUAGCAACACCGGGCUAGAGUAAGGACUGUGACUAGGCUGUAUAAUUCCAGCAGAUAACAUCUCAGAUACUAGCUUCUCAAUUUCGUCUUUCUGCAAAUAGCCAUACCUGUAUGGUUUAACACAAAUCGGUUCCUGCCUGUUUUGAGAGUAAUUUGAUGGUCAGCCAGUCGAUGUGGAGGAAGAGAUCGAAUCUCAUCGAAGACAAUCUAGUGUUUCUCUAGUAACCUGUGCAAUGUCGAUUCUUAUGAAGACGAGAGCUCAUUUGUGUGUAGUGGGGAAAUUUCAGCAUCGACACCCCAAGCAAAACAGAGAAGUCUACGUCCAAUAAUUUGCGGAUGGACUUUAGGGAAGAAGGAGUUCUCAUAAGAGACGGGUCACCCACUAGAGAAACGGUAUGUCCUUCAUGGGUAAACUCCAUAGUCAUCUGAGCCCAAUUGCUCCGUAUAUCACCCAAAGUUUCUAGCCAUGCUAUUUCCAGAAUGAAAUCAACCCCAUGCAAUGGAAAGAUGAAGAAGUUGCCCACAAUUUCAAAUGAACCAAACCGUACCUGAAGUUGACGACACAUACCCGAGGCGGCUACUCGAUUACCGUUCCCGAGGCGAACGUAAUAGACGGGAGUGGGGGUGACUGUAAGUUUGAGCUCUUUGUGGACUUGGGACGAGAUAAAAUUGUGGGUUGCUCCACUAUCCACCAUGAUCACAACCUCCAUAGAAGAGAAAGUACCUUUGAAUUUCAUGGUUUUUGGUUUGGAGAUGCCCCCAAUUGAGUUAAGAGAAAGCUCUAUAUUGGAGAAGUGAGCUUCAUCCCAGGUGACAGGAGGAUCGGUCUCAACGGUAGCAUCCAAUUCGGCCAUCUGGCCUUCAUUCACUGCGGGCUCGUAUUCACUAGCAAUUAGGGCACGAUGGGUGCGAUUGGGACAUUCAUGAAGGGGUGAGUAAGGCUGUUUGCACUUAAAGCAAAGUCCCUUGGCUCUGAGAUUUUGGUAUUCUUGGUGGGAGUAGUGGCAGGUGGCUCUUGGUGGACGAAUGUGGGUGGCUGGUUUUGUAGGUGGUGCGGGUAGAGCUAGAGGGCGUGGUGAGGAAUCUGGUGGUUUGAGGGGUGGGGAUGGAGGUGUUUCACGUUUCUGCAAGGUGAAGGUGUUAGUUGGGUAUUUGGAGUAGCUUGGGCCUGAGGAUUUUGGGCCUAGCCCGAAUUGGGUGGGUAAGUGUUGUUUGGUGGGAGAGAAGUUGAUUUCCCUUUCAAUUUCACGUGCCACCUUCAUCGCGCGACGCAAAUCGACUGUGUUAGGUGAACGCAGACGGAGUCGAAUGUCACAGCGGAGACCAUUGAGGAAAUAUCCUAACAGCUGUGGGUCAGACAAGGAUGGGGCUUGGGCUGCUCGGGAGAUGAACUUGACAAUGAAGGAGGAGACUGUCCCAACCUGUUUGACGGCAGCAAGGAGCUCGUAGGGGUUCUCAGAAUCAUCGCCGCUGAACUGAAUGGCUAUUUCCUCUUUUAACUGGUCCCAAGAGAAAGCAGGCUCGCGCUGCCGAACCCAUCGAAGCCAGUGAAGAGCUUCUCCUUCCAUAGCCACAAGGGCCAAGGGAAUCUUCAUAUCGGGUUCUGAUUGAUGGAGCUCAAAGUAUUGUUCUGCCCGUGCAAUCCAACCUAUCGGGUCAGACCCAUUGAAGGUAGGCAUGUCAACUUUCUUAAUCUGGUCUUGAAUAGAUGUGGGUGUGGAAGGUGUUGUGGCUGGUGGUGUGGGAAUGGUUGUAGUGGGCGCGAUGUUUGGAGGAGGUUGUGGUCGGGAAGAGGUUGGUUUGGGAGAGGAGUCACCGGAUUCUGUUUGGGCCCUGCCGGCAGUGAGAACCGACAUAAGUUGGUCGAACUUGGUUGUGAGAGUGGACAUUUGGUUGGUGAGGGAUGUAAGGUUCUGGGUAUAUUCAGUGUGGAAGGAUGUUUGAGAGUUGUCAAGGGUGGCAAGAUGAGCUUCAAUGGUGGAAAUAUUCCUCUCUAUCUGAUCAAUCCGCGAGUCUUGUCUGGUAUUUGUCAUUGUGGAGAUCGAAGAAAAGGGCAGGUCGAACCAAAUUGAUAGAGUAAGGAACAGUUCCAAUAUCUGUAAAUUAGAUGGCUGAAACAGAAAAGAAAAAAAAA
This is a non-coding RNA of Jatropha curcas, 3784 nucleotides long. Lineage: Eukaryota; Viridiplantae; Streptophyta; Magnoliopsida; Malpighiales; Euphorbiaceae. The record is from RefSeq and is a predicted model, not a curated record.